GAUGAACGCUCGCUACAGGCUUAACACAUGCAAGUCGCGGGGCAGCAUGGGGGUUGCUUGCAAUCCCCGAUGGCGACCGGCGCACGGGUGAGUAACGCGUAUCCAACCUGCCCUUCACCACGGGAUAACCCGGCGAAAGUCGGACUAAUACCGUAUGUUGUCCAUUGACGGCAUCCGAUUUGGACGAAAGGUUUGGCAGUGAAGGAUGGGGAUGCGUCCGAUUAGCUGGACGGCGGGGUGACGGCCCACCGUGGCGACGAUCGGUAGGGGUUCUGAGAGGAAGGUCCCCCACACUGGAACUGAGACACGGUCCAGACUCCUACGGGAGGCAGCAGUGAGGAAUAUUGGUCAAUGGGCGUAAGCCUGAACCAGCCAAGUAGCGUGCAGGAUGACGGCCCUAUGGGUUGUAAACUGCUUUUAUGCGGGGAUAAAGUGGCCCACGUGUGGGUUUUUGCAGGUACCGCAUGAAUAAGGACCGGCUAAUUCCGUG
RNAcentral lists this ribosomal RNA (490 nucleotides) under uncultured bacterium. RNAcentral describes it as "partial 16S ribosomal RNA". It matches the Rfam family "Bacterial small subunit ribosomal RNA", at positions 28 to 507 of the family's 1533-position model. The record is from RNAcentral.